AUGGCCGUGUUGUGUUUUGUGCUCCAUCACGCCCUAAGCACUCCACAGUGCUUUGCUGCAUCACCAUCUCAGCCAUUGAACCUUCUUGUUGGUUUCUUCCACCUGUUCCACCGAAGCAGUCUUCAUAUGCUGGCCUUAGUUCCUGAAGUAAGAAUUUACCUCUACCUACAAGGAAGUGAUGUCCAUGUUAAUACCCAAGACGGGAAAUGUGUGCCCAGAAGAUUAGGCUCAUUGUGUGUAUCUGGACGCUUUCCACCAGCUUUGUUUAUGGGACAUAUUGUUUUUCUGAAGUUGUUUGCUCCUGUGCUUCUUGCUUGCAGAUCUCAUUGGGCUUUCUUGGCUACAAAGACGAUCAGGAUUACUGGUAGUCUUGAGUCCUGGCAGGAAGGACCUACUUAAAAGAAGUUCUCAGGGGACUCAGCAAGAGGCUGACAGGACAAAGGUCAAGGAUGGCUCACCAUCCCAUACCCCAAGAUUGUGGGGGUGGGUUUUAUUCAGUGAUUUUGGCUUAUUCAUUUAUUUCUCUGUUUUCCUUUUAAAUAAGAUCCUCAACUGAGUCUACUUUCCUGGCUCCUUGCUGCUGUAAUGUUUUGGGUUGGUUUAUAUACUCAAUGUCAGUUUACCUCUGCACACUUUCAUUUGUAUUUCUGGAAUUUUGAUGAUGAUGACGAUGAUUUUGUUGUUGCUCUGUCAGGAGCAUCAGAAGCCAAAUAAUAUUAGCCUCUGUGUGCCCAUUUGGUCCAAAUAACUUAACAGAUGGUGCCUGAAUAUUCUGUGGUUAACACCCUCCUCUCAGAAACUUACAGGCAUUUCUCUUCGGGUGGUCCCACUUUGUUGUCCCAAGCAGGAGAACUCAUUGUCUCUGGCACACUGUUUGUAUGCCAACUACUAGCAUGUGCUGUUUUAUUAUUAUCCCAGCCACCUACCCUCCCAUCCAGACUGUACCAUCAACCACAUUUACUCCCCACCCUUCCUUAGCCUCCAGUAGCUCUGGGCCACAGCUUAGACAGAAACGAGUACAUACAGAAGGGAUUAAGUCAUCUUCUUGGAAUGUCAGGGAACCCCCCCCUUUUUUUUAAUAAAACCUUACCUUCCAUCUUGGAAUCA
This 1107-nucleotide long non-coding RNA is filed under the name Monodelphis domestica (gray short-tailed opossum). RNAcentral describes it as "lncRNA (ENSMODG00000045898.1)". The record is from RNAcentral. Lineage: Eukaryota; Metazoa; Chordata; Mammalia; Didelphimorphia; Didelphidae.